AACCGACUAAUGUUGAAAAAUUAGCGGAUGACUUGUGGCUGGGGGUGAAAGGCCAAUCAAACCGGGAGAUAGCUGGUUCUCCCCGAAAGCUAUUUAGGUAGCGCCUCGUGAAUUCAUCUUCGGGGGUAGAGCACUGUUUCGGCAAGGGGGUCAUCCCGACUUACCAACCCGAUGCAAACUGCGAAUACCGGAGAAUGUUAUCACGGGAGACACACGGCGGGUGCUAACGUCCGUCGUGAAGAGGGAAACAACCCAGACCGCCAGCUAAGGUCCCAAAGUCAUGGUUAAGUGGGAAACGAUGUGGGAAGGCCCAGACAGCCAGGAUGUUGGCUUAGAAGCAGCCAUCAUUUAAAGAAAGCGUAAUAGCUCACUGGUCGAGUCGGCCUGCGCGGAAGAUGUAACGGGGCUAAACCAUGCACCGAAGCUGCGGCAGCGACGCUUAUGCGUUGUUGGAUAGGGGAGCGUUCUGUAAGCCUGUGAAGGUGUACUGUGAGGUAUGCUGGAGGUAUCAGAAGUGCGAAUGCUGACAUAAGUAACGAUAAAGCGGGUGAAAAGCCCGCUCGCCGGAAGACCAAGGGUUCCUGUCCAACGUUAAUCGGGGCAGGGUGAGUCGACCCCUAAGGCGAGGCCGAAAGGCGUAGUCGAUGGGAAACAGGUUAAUAUUCCUGUACUUGGUGUUACUGCGAAGGGGGGACGGAGAAGGCUAUGUUGGCCGGGCGACGGUUGUCCCGGUUUAAGCGUGUAGGCUGGUUUUCCAGGCAAAUCCGGAAAAUCNAGGCUGAGGCGUGAUGACGAGGCACUACGGUGCUGAAGCAACAAAUGCCCUGCUUCCAGGAAAAGCCUCUAAGCAUCAGGUAACAUCAAAUCGUACCCCAAACCGACACAGGUGGUCAGGUAGAGAAUACCAAGGCGCUUGAGAGAACUCGGGUGAAGGAACUAGGCAAAAUGGUGCCGUAACUUCGGGAGAAGGCACGCUGAUAUGUAGGUGAAGCGACUUGCUCGUGGAGCUGAAAUCAGUCGAAGAUACCAGCUGGCUGCAACUGUUUAUUAAAAACACAGCACUGUGCAAACACGAAAGUGGACGUAUACGGUGUGACGCCUGCCCGGUGCCGGAAGGUUAAUUGAUGGGGUUAGCGGUAACGCGAAGCUCUUGAUCGAAGCCCCGGUAAACGGCGGCCGUAACUAUAACGGUCCUAAGGUAGCGAAAUUCCUUGUCGGGUAAGUUCCGACCUGCACGAAUGGCGUAAUGAUGGCCAGGCUGUCUCCACCCGAGACUCAGUGAAAUUGAACUCGCUGUGAAGAUGCAGUGUACCCGCGGCAAGACGGAAAGACCCCGUGAACCUUUACUAUAGCUUGACACUGAACAUUGAGCCUUGAUGUGUAGGAUAGGUGGGAGGCUUUGAAGUGUGGACGCCAGUCUGCAUGGAGCCGACCUUGAAAUACCACCCUUUAAUGUUUGAUGUUCUAACGUUGGCCCCUNNNNNNNAUCGGGGUUGCGGACAGUGUCUGGUGGGUAGUUUGACUGGGGCGGUCUCCUCCUAAAGAGUAACGGAGGAGCACGAAGGUUGGCUAAUCCUGGUCGGACAUCAGGAGGUUAGUGCAAUGGCAUAAGCCAGCUUGACUGCGAGCGUGACGGCGCGAGCAGGUGCGAAAGCAGGUCAUAGUGAUCCGGUGGUUCUGAAUGGAAGGGCCAUCGCUCAACGGAUAAAAGGUACUCCGGGGAUAACAGGCUGAUACCGCCCAAGAGUUCAUAUCGACGGCGGUGUUUGGCACCUCGAUGUCGGCUCAUCACAUCCUGGGGCUGAAGUAGGUCCCAAGGGUAUGGCUGUUCGCCAUUUAAAGUGGUACGCGAGCUGGGUUUAGAACGUCGUGAGACAGUUCGGUCCCUAUCUGCCGUGGGCGCUGGAGAACUGAGGGGGGCUGCUCCUAGUACGAGAGGACCGGAGUGGACGCAUCACUGGUGUUCGGGUUGUCAUGCCAAUGGCACUGCCCGGUAGCUAAAUGCGGAAGAGAUAAGUGCUGAAAGCAUCUAAGCACGAAACUUGCCCCGAGAUGAGUUCUCCCUGACUCCUUGAGAGUCCUGAAGGAACGUUGAAGACGACGACGUUGAUAGGCCGGGUGUGUAAGCGCAGCGAUGCGUUGAGCUAACCGGUACUAAUGAACCGUGAGGCUUAACCUU
RNAcentral lists this ribosomal RNA (2179 nucleotides) under Escherichia coli. RNAcentral's name for it is "bacterial LSU rRNA". It matches the Rfam family "Bacterial large subunit ribosomal RNA", at positions 777 to 2925 of the family's 2925-position model. The record is from RNAcentral. Lineage: Bacteria; Pseudomonadati; Pseudomonadota; Gammaproteobacteria; Enterobacterales; Enterobacteriaceae.